UGGUGCAAAUGGUUAGCAUGCUCAGCUGCUAAAUGAAAGACUGGUGGUUCAAUUCCACU
This 59-nucleotide transfer RNA is filed under the name Loxodonta africana (African savanna elephant). The record is from Rfam by way of RNAcentral. Lineage: Eukaryota; Metazoa; Chordata; Mammalia; Proboscidea; Elephantidae.